RNAcentral lists this unclassified non-coding RNA (240 nucleotides) under soil metagenome. RNAcentral describes it as "partial contains 5.8S ribosomal RNA, internal transcribed spacer 2, and large subunit ribosomal RNA". The record is from RNAcentral.
AACGGUCUAUACCUGCGGUACCUGCGGAAGGAUCAUUACAGAGUUUACAACUCCCAAACCCACUGUGAACCUUACAGCGUCGUUGCCUCGGCGGACCGCCCCCGGCGCGGCCCCCCUCGGGGGGGCGCCCGGGACCACGGCGCCCGCCGGAGGACCCAAACUCUUGUAUUUGCAGGAUGCAUUGCUCUGAGUGAAAACAAGCAAAUGAAUCAAAACUUUCAGCAACGGAUCUCUAGAUCG